Molecule: small nucleolar RNA, 106 nt
Organism: Dioscorea cayenensis subsp. rotundata (Guinea yam)
Lineage: Eukaryota; Viridiplantae; Streptophyta; Magnoliopsida; Dioscoreales; Dioscoreaceae
Source: RefSeq, a predicted model, not a curated record
AAUCCGUAUUGUGGACACUUCCGCAAGAGAUCUUUAAAUCACUCCCACUUCUCAAACAAAGAUUCAAGAUCCAUCUGAACAAACGAUAAUAUCUCAUUACGAGGCU